Oncorhynchus nerka (sockeye salmon) is the source of this 587-nucleotide long non-coding RNA. RefSeq lists it as uncharacterized. The transcript is spliced from 3 exons. NCBI's taxonomy places the organism in Eukaryota, Metazoa, Chordata, Actinopteri, Salmoniformes, Salmonidae. The record is from RefSeq and is a predicted model, not a curated record.
CCGCACGUGACUCAUUCCCAGGGUGAUGGUAGUGUGAAAGACAGUUGUGCAUAACCUGAAUGUCAACGUCAUGUAUUACCACUAGGUGAUGACUGUGUUCUCGGGAUGUGUGAGGCUGGAGAAGGGGUCAGCACCUGGGCUUGAAGAUUCGCUACAUUUCUCAGACGCAGGGUUUGCCUGGGGAGCAUCUGUUGAAUGUGGGGACGAAGACGGCACGGUUCUUCUGCAGGGAGUCUGACUCCCCCUACUCAGCAUGGCGAUUGAAAUCGACUGAUGAGCAUGAGACCGAGACGGGGAUGAAAUCGAAGGAAGCAAGGAAGUACAUCUUCAACUGUUUGGAUGACAUGGCGCACGUAAGUCUUGUUCCACAGGAUGUGGACACCUUCAGCUGGUCUAACUAGACCGUGUUGAUGAGUCUCUACUCAGGAAGCUCAUGGUUAGAUGAUGUAGGUCUGAGAGAGAGGAAGUUCACCUUCAGCUGUUCUAACUAGACCGUGUUGAUGAGUCUCUACUCAGGAAGCUUAUGGUUAGAUGAUGUAGGUCUGAGAGAGAGAAAGUUCACCUUCAGCUGUUCUAAUUAGACCGUG